CUAAAAUAGUAAUAGUUAUAUUCUUGAAACUUAAAGGAUUUGGCGGUGCUUUAGACCAGUUAGAGGAACCUGUUGCCAGAAAACGAUAAACCACGCAGAAUCUUACUCAAGUUUGUAUACCGUCAUUAUUAGAUGAUUUUAGGAGAAUUAAUCAUUGUAAUAGAAAAAAUCUAGUAUAUUAGAUCAAGGUGCAGCUUAUAAGUGAGCGGGAAUGGGUUACAAUAUAACUUAUAUAUUAUGGAUAUGAAAAGUCGUUGAAGGAGGAUUUAAUUGUAUAAAGGAUUAAUAAGAAAUUUUGAUAUAGGCUCUAAAGCAUGUACACAUCGCCCGUCGCUCUU
RNAcentral lists this ribosomal RNA (338 nucleotides) under Ranina ranina. RNAcentral describes it as "partial 12S small subunit ribosomal RNA". The record is from RNAcentral. Lineage: Eukaryota; Metazoa; Arthropoda; Malacostraca; Decapoda; Raninidae.